RNAcentral lists this long non-coding RNA (510 nucleotides) under Meriones unguiculatus (Mongolian gerbil). RNAcentral's name for it is "lncRNA (ENSMUGG00000007462.1)". The record is from RNAcentral. Lineage: Eukaryota; Metazoa; Chordata; Mammalia; Rodentia; Muridae.
GCCUGGCUCAGAGGAUGCAGUGUUUGAGGAAGGCUGAGGAGGAGCCCUGUUCUCUGAGGAGACAACGUGGAGGGGUGGAAGGAGGAGGAGAGCCAGCAAAGCCUCCCGUGGGAGGGAGAUCUGAAGACUCUUGCUGGGAUCAUCUUCUCCACUCCUCUGGCCAUCAUUGCCUACUUCCUCAUCUGGUUUGUGCCUGACUUCCCUCCAGGGAUGGAAAGGUCGCAUGGGUUCCUUUGGUACCUGCUUUUCUACUGUCUCUUUGAGACACUGGUCACGUGUUUCCACGUUCCCUACUCCGCACUCACCAUGUUCAUCAGCACAGAGCAGAGUGAGCGGGACUCGGCCACUGCCUAUAGUAAGUCCCUUCCUCAUCAGCAUGGUCCUGUGUGCAGGCGUUCCUAGUCCUCUCUGCUCCUGGUCUCCCUCCCACACCUCGUACUAUACAGGCCCAGCUCUUUGCUCUACUCCCGUGUGUGUGUGUGUGUGUGUGUGUGUGUGUGUGUGUGUGUG